GACGAACGCUGGCGGCGUGCUUAACACAUGCAAGUCGAACGGUAAGGCCCUUCGGGGUACACGAGUGGCGAACGGGUGAGUAACACGUGGGUGAUCUGCCCUGCACUUCGGGAUAAGCCUGGGAAACUGGGUCUAAUACCGGAUAGGACCACUGCCUGCAUGGGUGGUGGUGGAAAGCUUUUGCGGUGUGGGAUGGGCCCGCGGCCUAUCAGCUUGUUGGUGGGGGGAUGGCCUACCAAGGCGACGACGGGUAGCCGGCCUGAGAGGGUGACCGGCCACACUGGGACGGAGAGACGGCCCAGACUCCUACGGGAGGCAGCAGUGGGGAAUAUUGCACAAUGGGCGCAAGCCUGAUGCAGCGACGCCGCGUGAGGGAUGACGGCCUUCAGGUUGUAAACCUCUUUCAGCACCGACGAAGCGCAAGUGACGGUAGGUGCAGAAGAAGGACCGGCCAACUACGUGCCAGCAGCCGCGGUAA
RNAcentral lists this ribosomal RNA (478 nucleotides) under uncultured bacterium. Its description in RNAcentral is "partial 16S ribosomal RNA". It matches the Rfam family "Bacterial small subunit ribosomal RNA", at positions 28 to 523 of the family's 1533-position model. The record is from RNAcentral.